GCGCGUGUAGCUCAAUUGGAUAGAGCGCCAAACUACGGAUUUGGAAGCUAGGAGUUCGAGUCUCUUCAAGCGUA
Molecule: transfer RNA, 74 nt
Filed under: Pyramimonas parkeae
Lineage: Eukaryota; Viridiplantae; Chlorophyta; Pyramimonadophyceae; Pyramimonadales; Pyramimonadaceae
Description: tRNA-Arg
Rfam family: tRNA
About the family: Transfer RNA (tRNA) molecules are approximately 80 nucleotides in length. Their secondary structure includes four short double-helical elements and three loops (D, anti-codon, and T loops).
Source: RNAcentral